GAUGAACGCUAGCGAUAGGCUUAACACAUGCAAGUAGAACGCUGAGGACUGGUGCUUGCACCGGUCUAAGGAGCUGCGGACGGGUGAGUAACGCGUAGGUAACCUACCUCAUAGCGGGGGAUAACUACUGGAAACGAUAGCUAAUACCGCAUGACAAUAGGGUACACAUGUACCCUAUUUAAAAGGGGCAAAUGCUUCACUAUGAGAUGGACCUGCGUUGUAUUAGCUAGUUGGUAAGGUAACGGCUUACCAAGGCGACGAUACAUAGCCGACCUGAGAGGGUGAUCGGCCACACUGGGACUGAGACACGGCCCAG
This 316-nucleotide ribosomal RNA is filed under the name uncultured bacterium. RNAcentral describes it as "bacterial SSU rRNA". It matches the Rfam family "Bacterial small subunit ribosomal RNA", at positions 28 to 334 of the family's 1533-position model. The record is from RNAcentral.